UACGGAGGGUGCGAGCGUUGUUCGGAAUUACUGGGCGUAAAGGGCUCGUAGGUGGCCAACUAAGUCGGACGUGAAAUCCCUCAGCUUAACUGGGGAACUGCGUCCGAUACUGGAUGGCUUGAGUUUGGGAGAGGGAUGCGGAAUUCCAGGUGUAGCGGUGAAAUGCGUAGAUAUCUGGAGGAACACCGGUGGCGAAGGCGGCAUCCUGGACCAACACUGACACUGAGGAGCGAAAGCGUGGGGAGCAAACAGG
RNAcentral lists this ribosomal RNA (253 nucleotides) under uncultured bacterium. Its description in RNAcentral is "partial 16S ribosomal RNA". It matches the Rfam family "Bacterial small subunit ribosomal RNA", at positions 524 to 776 of the family's 1533-position model. The record is from RNAcentral.